RNAcentral lists this ribosomal RNA (253 nucleotides) under uncultured bacterium. RNAcentral's name for it is "partial 16S ribosomal RNA". It matches the Rfam family "Bacterial small subunit ribosomal RNA", at positions 524 to 776 of the family's 1533-position model. The record is from RNAcentral.
UACGUAGGGUGCAAGCGUUGUCCGGAAUUAUUGGGCGUAAAGAGCUCGUAGGCGGUUCGUCGCGUCGGCUGUGAAAACCCGGGGCUCAACCCCGGGCCUGCAGCCGAUACGGGCAGACUAGAGUUCGGCAGGGGAGACUGGAAUUCCUGGUGUAGCGGUGAAAUGCGCAGAUAUCAGGAGGAACACCGGUGGCGAAGGCGGGUCUCUGGGCCGAUACUGACGCUGAGGAGCGAAAGCGUGGGGAGCGAACAGG